Molecule: non-coding RNA, 1957 nt
Organism: Pelodiscus sinensis (Chinese soft-shelled turtle)
Lineage: Eukaryota; Metazoa; Chordata; Testudines; Trionychidae
Source: RefSeq, a predicted model, not a curated record
GGGAAGGGCAGCAUGCAGGAGAUAAAGACAUGGCCGGGGAAGGUGAGAGGGAGGAAGGAGAGACCGAGGAGAGAAGCAAGAGGCCCCACCAAAGCUGGAAGAAAAUCCUGCAGAAGCUUUCACUGACUCAUCUCUCUUUGCACACUGGGGCCAGGACCUCAGUCCUGAAAACAGGCGCAUUGCCCUUAAACAAUUCCAGUAUUAUGGCUACAAUGCUUACUUGAGUGACCGCCUACCAUUGGAUAGGCAACUACCUGACCUUAGGCCUAAUGGGUGCAGAAACCUCACCUUUCCCACUAGCCUUCCUGAGGUCAGCAUUGUUUUCAUAUUUGUUAACGAAGCCCUCUCAGUGAUUCUACGUUCCAUUCAUUCUGCUAUUGACCGGACUCCUCCUUACCUGCUCAAAGAAAUUAUCUUAGUGGAUGACAACAGUAAUAAUGGUAAGGGCUAUCUUUGGAACAUAGCUCUGGAUUGUGUGUGACUAGUAGCACAUUUCCUCAAGUUCUGACUUGCAGACAUCCUGUUAGAGUUUCAGAGGGUGUGUUUGAGAAUACCAGAGAAUUGUUUGUUUUUUUCCCCUCUAGCCUUAGACCCUUCUCCUGGGACAAGUUUUGCCUUCAGAUGUGCAAAAGUACUUGCCACUGACAUCCAGUGAGAACAGAGGCAGAGAACAGAGCUUCAUUCCCUAUGUUUAAUGGGCUCAGUACAUUGAUGUGUUUAAUGUGCCCAGUGGGGGCUCUCGUACAUUUCAAAGGAGGAAUGCGGACGUGCCUGUCAACUAGUCGAGUAGUCAAUGGAAAUUCCAUCGACAACUUGACUAGUCAAUUAACUGCAAAGGUUGGGCUCUGCUAGGAGUUAAUUUCAAACUCAUAAUAUUUAAGUGGGAUCAACAUCCCUUCUUCUGAAGGAGAAUGCCAAAUGAAGGGCUUCUGUUCCACCUCUAGCCUUAUGACAGCUCUUACCUGAGUCCCUGUUUCUGCAUGCUGGGAGCCACAACUCUCUCUCUGGCAUUCCUUGGACUUUUUUUUAGCAGAGCACAGACUGUAGCAGGCAAAAUAAAUAUGCUCCUCACCCAAAGCUGAAACUCCCCUUCUCCACCUCUUUUUUUUAAUUCUCUCUGUCAAGAAAAAGCUCAAAUCCCAGCUUCAAACACAUUUCCACAUAAAACAACUAAAUGUAUGGUGUUAGCACCCUGGUUGCAUGAGGAUAUUUAGGUCCAUUCCAACCCUAAUGAAUAACGCUGUGUUUAGAGUCAACCAAGCCUGACCUACCUUUUCAUGAUUAGGUAUUUUAAGGUGCAAUAUGGGUAAGAUAGUAUGCAGAAUUUAUGUGGUGAUGGUCUUGAUUUAGGGCACGAUAUGGGAUGUAACAGUGCAACAGAGUGAUCAAAAAUCACAAAUAAUAUAAUAGCAAACUAUGAGAGAACUAAAUAAAAUAAGCUGAGUGAAUCAGAAAUCACUCAUGAAUUUUUGGCUUGUUUAUGCAUUUCAUUAUGUAGCACUUGGACAUUCCCUGGCACAUGGUUGUAUUGAGACAAAAAAAGGAGAUGUUUUUACACAAGGAGAACGAUAGGCUGGUCUUCCCUUCCUCUGAAAUAUGUGACCAUCCAGACAGGAGAAUGCAGACUCAGAGUUGAUGGGAAUAACUUUCUGGCAUGGUUUAGGACAGGUGUUACCCUCACAGAGAGCCCCAUUGGUUCCUGGAAAAUCUCCAUCCCAUGCUACUUUUUUGUACCCACUCUCUUGCUUCAUCAGUAGAGUCCAUUGCCGGCAGCACGGGGCUUUCUCCACAAGCUGGCUAGCAUUCUCUGUAUUUUGGACUGAAUUUUGAUUACCACAUUAUGUAUGCUGAGGCUUUGGGUAUGAAGGGCUAUUCAGUGGAUGUGGAUCAAGAAGGCUGGAUCAGGGGAUUGUGUUAUUAGUUUAAUUUUUUCUUUUACAAUUUAUUUACAAUUUUC